UAGCUGUAAAUGAGCUAUUAGACGAUAACAAAAAGUCCACAUGUUUCAAGUGAAGGGUUAUACUUGUGUUAUGGUGCUUUUGAUGACAUUUUGUGAUAUUCACGGAAUAAUUUAGUGGAUUGGUCCACGACUUCAUUUAUAAUACUGCGUUUGAUUUGGUCAUCUAUUGCAGCCAGUUCUGAUUGUGGGUAUUGUAAUUUAGGAGUUCUCCAUGUACGAGGUAUCCGGUAAAGAAACACAACCAGAAAUUGUUUUAAGCUGAUUAGGUGGUAGGCAAGGAUGCCAUCUGAGAAAUGCAGGAACUAUCUGGCUCUUUUGACCGAGUCAUUUAGGUUUAUAUCAUGGUUCGCCGUAUUGGACAGUGCGGGACAUAUCGUACCAUACCACUUUGGUAUCAGUAUUUGGUAUGAAACAUACUGUAUGAUACUAAUUCGGUAUCGGUAUUUGGUACUAGUAGCGUAUCGACAUUCAAUAUGUGAGUCUCUCCUGGGAUGCUAUAGUCUUAAAGAUGAACUCAGCAUGCACUUGACAUACGUGAAAAAUGUGCUCUUUGCUAUAUCUAGUUUGCCCCUGAAAGUAUGUAUUGCAGUUCAAUAAUUUAUGCUCGUUAAGAAGAUUGGUACGAGACUUCAUGAAUAUCUGACAUUGGAGAAAAAGCAUUGAAAGAAAGCUGGCUAUGUUUUGCUUCAAGAAAGUCCUUCUAUAAAAAAUAUUUCUUAAAAAAAAUAAAUGAAUGAUAUUAUAGCGUGAGAAGUGCUUCUACAAGAAGCAGAAGUCAAGAGAAAAAAAACCCUUGAGGAGUAGCUAAAAAAAGAAAUUAAAUUCUAGUUGCUUCUUUUGUGGAACUUCUCCAUAUCU
Molecule: long non-coding RNA, 858 nt
Filed under: Phoenix dactylifera (date palm)
Lineage: Eukaryota; Viridiplantae; Streptophyta; Magnoliopsida; Arecales; Arecaceae
Description: long non-coding RNA (PDAC_LNC012676)
Source: RNAcentral